UACGUAGGGCGCAAGCGUUAUCCGGAAUUACUGGGCGUAAAGCGCACGUAGGCGGAUUGUUAGGUCGGGGGUGAAAUCCUGGAGCUCAACUCCAGAACUGCCUUCGAUACUGGCGAUCUCGAGUUCGGGAGAGGUGAGUGGAACUGCGAGUGUAGAGGUGAAAUUCGUAGAUAUUCGCAAGAACACCAGUGGCGAAGGCGGCUCACUGGCCCGAUACUGACGCUGAGGUGCGAAAGCGUGGGGAGCAAACAGG
RNAcentral lists this ribosomal RNA (253 nucleotides) under uncultured bacterium. RNAcentral describes it as "partial 16S ribosomal RNA". It matches the Rfam family "Bacterial small subunit ribosomal RNA", at positions 524 to 776 of the family's 1533-position model. The record is from RNAcentral.